Molecule: RNase P RNA, 390 nt
Filed under: Bacillus sp. 1NLA3E
Lineage: Bacteria; Bacillati; Bacillota; Bacilli; Caryophanales; Bacillaceae
Description: Bacterial RNase P class B
Rfam family: Bacterial RNase P class B
About the family: Ribonuclease P (RNase P) is a ubiquitous endoribonuclease, found in archaea, bacteria and eukarya as well as chloroplasts and mitochondria. Its best characterised activity is the generation of mature 5'-ends of tRNAs by cleaving the 5'-leader elements of precursor-tRNAs. Cellular RNase Ps are ribonucleoproteins.
Source: Rfam by way of RNAcentral
ACGUUCGGGUAAUCGCUGCAAGAAGCUUUUGCUACUUGUAGAGGAAAGUCCAUGCUCGCACGAGCUGAGAUGCUCGUAGUGUUCGUGCCUAGCCAAUUCAUAAGCUAGGGCAGUCGAGAGGCUGACGGCAGGGAAAAUGCCUAAGUCCGUUAAGGAUAUGGCAUGAAUACCUUUAAAGUGCCACAGUGACGUAGCCUCUUCAGAAAUGGAGAGGGUGGAACGAGGUAAACCCCACGAGCGAGAAACCCAAAUAAUGGUAGGGGCACUUUCUCUGAGGAAUUGAACAAGGAGAAGGACAGGUUGAUUUUCAAUCUGUAGAUAGAUGGUUACCACCGGAGUACGAGACUUUGGUCGUUUGCAGUACGAAGGAACAGAACAUGGCUUACAGAA